CAGCGGAUCCAUAAUCCUGAUCUCAUAAUAGAAUAAAUGAAAGAUCAUCAAACAAGCCCAAUUGAUAGCAAUAAUGAUAACAACUCCAAAAGUUCUUAUCAAACUUAAUAAUUUUAUAAAAGUCUCCAUUACAAGGGGUAAGUUUGCAAUGUCUCAAUUGUUUUGCCAUUUAAAAAAAAAAUCCAUCUCUCCCAUUGCUAACAAUAAAAUGCAUUAGGCGACAAUGAUACCCCAAAAAACAAAAAAGAGCAAUAAGGGAGCACUGUGAAUUCACACAGUGCCAAAAUGGAGCUUAAUGCAGCUUCCACUACUAUCUUUAAGGGGAAGACAAGUUAAUUUACCAGUAGGUUUGACCAUUUUAUUUAGGAGUUGCAACAGUUCUAUAUUUUUGUCCACCUUUUCCCUUCUUUCAUUAACCUAAGGUAUACAGGGGUAGUUUAUAAAUUCUCUUCACUUCCACAUGCUUUCCCAUCCAAUAACUUCAUUUGUUUGAAGGAAACUAAAUCGCCUAAUGUACCGUACCAUAUCAGAGGAUCAAUUUCUGUAUUAUAUUGGAGGCCACCUGAUCACGAUUUUGAAUCAAUCCUAACCAGUUCAUUAGCUUGUAAUAUAAGAAUUCCAAAAAUUUAUUUUCCAGUCAAUGAUGUCCAUCACUUCUUACUGUGAUUCAAUAAAAGCAAAAGGAUUGCCAGGUCUGAAAACAAUUGAACCUGCCUCUCUAAAUGAGUCUCCAAAAGCUAUCCUUUUUGUCCCUAAAGAGAAUUCCAUUUUCUCAGCAAACAAACAAAGAGUAAGGGUUACUUUCAUAUUAAUCGUCAUUAUCCCUGUUUGAAAACUAGAAUUUUACAAGAAUUCAGUUCAAUUCAAUUAAUUUCUUAAUUCUUAUGUUUAGAAUGUAAGAAUUUAAUUCUUUUUAACUUA
RNAcentral lists this unclassified non-coding RNA (921 nucleotides) under Hevea brasiliensis (rubber tree). Lineage: Eukaryota; Viridiplantae; Streptophyta; Magnoliopsida; Malpighiales; Euphorbiaceae. The record is from RNAcentral.